Molecule: long non-coding RNA, 518 nt
Organism: Humulus lupulus (European hop)
Lineage: Eukaryota; Viridiplantae; Streptophyta; Magnoliopsida; Rosales; Cannabaceae
Exons: 3
Source: RefSeq, a predicted model, not a curated record
UUAUGCAGCAUUGUUCCUUUGUAAAUUUCUAUUUAAUUAGCAUUUGAAACAUUAGUGGUGAAAUUUGGGUUUUCAAUAAGGUCUUCUAUUUCUUUGAAACUCUUUUAUGACUCUUUAAUUUAAGGUCAAUCACUAGAGUCUGGCUUGGUUUCUCACCAAUGUUAUUGGUACUGCAGAGUUAUACACAGUAUAUCCCUUUGCCAAUCAGUGACCUUGAUUCUUGGUUGAAGACACCCUCCAUAUAUGUUUUUGAUUGCUCUGCAGCUGGGGGAAUAUUGUGAAUGCUUUUAUUGAGUUUCAUGAUUGGGUUGCUUCUAGCUCCUCUGGAUCCACAAGGGAUUGCAUUCUACUUGGAGCUUGUGAAGCACAUGAGACUCUUCCACAAAGUGCUGAAUUUCCUGCAGAUGUGUUUAUGUCUUGUCUCACAACACCUAUUAAGAUGGCUUUGAGAUGGAUCUUGCAGGCAAAGGACACCAAGUGAAUUAGAUAGAGAGGUUAAGAACUUGAGGGUGGCAUUU